GCCAGCAGCCAUAUCACACUGCAACUGACAACCCACUGAAGCUCAGCAGGCGUGAGCCUGGCCAGUACCUGGAUGGGAGACCUCCUGGGAAAACUAAGGUUGCUGCUGGAA
This 111-nucleotide ribosomal RNA is filed under the name Lepisosteus oculatus (spotted gar). Lineage: Eukaryota; Metazoa; Chordata; Actinopteri; Semionotiformes; Lepisosteidae. The record is from RNAcentral.